Molecule: ribosomal RNA, 253 nt
Filed under: uncultured bacterium
Lineage: Bacteria
Description: partial 16S ribosomal RNA
Rfam family: Bacterial small subunit ribosomal RNA
Source: RNAcentral
UACGUAGGGUGCAAGCGUUAAUCGGAAUUACUGGGCGUAAAGCGUGCGCAGGCGGUUUUGUAAGUCUGUCGUGAAAGCCCCGGGCUUAACCUGGGAAUUGCGAUGGAGACUGCAAGGCUUGAAUCUGGCAGAGGGGGGUAGAAUUCCACGUGUAGCAGUGAAAUGCGUAGAGAUGUGGAGGAACACCGAUGGCGAAGGCAGCCCCCUGGGUCAAGAUUGACGCUCGUGCACGAAAGCGUGGGGAGCAAACAGG